AAGUCGUAACAAGGUUUCCGUAGGUGAACCUGCGGAAGGAUCAUUAUCGAAUAAACUUGAACAGGCUGUUGCUGGCCCCUUGGGGUGUGUGCACGCUUGUCUCAUCUUUAUCAUUUCUCCAACUGUGCACAUUUUGUAGACCCUGGAGCCUUUGGAUUUUUUUUAUUCGAGUCGGGACUGCUGUGCUUUUUUCAAGCCAGCUUUGCCUUGCAUCUCCAGGUCUAUGUCAUUUUUCACAACCUCUCAAAUGUGUUUAGAAUGUCGAAUAAAAGUGAAAUAUACAACUUUCAGCAACGGAUCUCUUGGCUCUCGCAUCGAUGAAGAACGCAGCGAAAUGCGAUAAGUAAUGUGAAUUGCAGAAUUCAGUGAAUCAUCGAAUCUUUGAACGCAUCUUGCGCUCCUUGGUAUUCCGAGGAGCAUGCCUGUUUGAGUGUCAUUUAACUUCUCAACCACAUCUUAUGUGUGUGGCUUGGAUGUGGGGUUGCAGGCUUUCUUUUGUGAAAGGGAAAGGUCAGCUCCCCUGAAAUAUAUUAGUGGUAUCUGAGCUACUACUAUAGGUGUGAUAAUUAUCUAUGCCUUUGGUAUGCUGCAUGAACAGAUCGCACUGCUUCCAACGAGUUGGAUGAAAAACCAUAUUUGAUGAAUUUGACCUCAUAUCAGGUAGGACUACCCGCUGAACUUAAGCAUAUCAAUAAGCGGAGGAAAAGAAACUAACAAGGAUUCCCCUAGUAACUGCGAGUGAAGCGGGAAAAGCUCAAAUUUGAAAUCUGGCGGUUCUUGAACUGUCCGAGUUGUAAUCUAGAGAAGUGUUACCUGUGCUGGACCGUGUACAAGUCUCCUGGAAUGGAGCAUCACAGAGGGUGAGAAUCCCGUCUUUGACAUGGACUGCCUGUACGAUAUGGUGCGCUCUCGAAGAGUCGAGUUGUUUGGGAAUGCAGCUCAAAAUGGGUGGUAAAUGCCAUCUAAAGCUAAAUAUUGGCGAGAGACCGAUAGCGAACAAGUACCGUGAGGGAAAGAUGAAAAGAACUUUGGAAAGAGAGUUAAACAGUACGUGAAAUUGCUGAAAGGGAAACGCUUGAAGUCAGUCGCGUCAGCUGGAAAUCAGCCUUGCUCUUGCUUGGUGUACUUUCUGGUUGAUGGGUCAGCAUCAAUUUUGACCACUGGAUAAAGUCGUUGGGAAUGUGGCAUCUUAGGAUGUGUUAUAGCCCAUUGUCGCAUACUGUGGUUGGGAUUGAGGAACUCAGCACGCCGCAAGGCCGGGUUUUUUUAAACCACGUUCGUGCUUAGGAUGCUGGCAUAAUGGCUUUAAUCGACC
This 1315-nucleotide ribosomal RNA is filed under the name uncultured fungus. Its description in RNAcentral is "eukaryotic LSU rRNA". The stretch from base 647 to 1315 matches the Rfam family "Eukaryotic large subunit ribosomal RNA", at positions 1 to 649 of the family's 3401-position model. Lineage: Eukaryota; Fungi. The record is from RNAcentral.